AUGACUGUUUUGCCUACCAAGUGCUGGUCAGACACUAGCAUGUAUUUACUCAGAUAUGGGAUUUUCCACCUUUACAUUAUAUGUGCUCCUAAUUCUCACAGUAGUGAUUCCAACCAAGAUCCUGGUGAUGUGCAUACAGUUUUGCCAGGAAAGCCCAGAGAGCAAUGCUUCAGUCUCAGUCAGGAGAUUUAUGCCAAUUCAGUGAAUACCUAUUAUUUAUUCUCCAGUCACUGUCCGUUGCUUUACAACACUGUUACCCACUAUGUAAAUGCAUCUUUUGGAAGUGUCAAUCUGCCUGGGGGUAGCGAGGCCCUACAGAGAGAUCUGGACAGGUUGGAUAGCUGGGCUGAAGCCCAUGGAAUGAGGUUCAACAAGGCCAAAUGCUGGGUCCUGCACUUUGGCCACAGCAACCCCUGGCAACGCUACAGGCUUGGGGCAGAGUGGCUGGAAGACUGUUUAGAGGAAAUGGGCCUGGGUCUAUUGAUUGAUGCUCGGCUGAACAUGAGCCAGCAGUGUGCCCAGGUAGCCAAGAAGGCCAAUGGCAUCCUGGCUUGCAUCCAAAAUGGUGUUGCCAGCAGGAACAGGGAAGUGAUUGUCCCCCUGUACUCAGCACUGGUGAGGCCGCACCUCCAGUACUGUGUCCAAUUUUGGGCCCCUCACUGCAAGAAAGACAUUGAGGCCCUGAAGUGGGUUCAAAGACGGGCAACAAAGUUGGUGAGGGUUCUGGAGCACAGGCCUUAUGAGGAGCGGCUGGGAUUGUUCGGUCUGGAGAAGAGGAGGCUCAGGGGAGACCUUAUUGCUCUCUAUAACUACCUGAAGGAAGGUUGCAGUGAGCUGGGGGUCAGCCUCUUCUCUCAUGUAACUGGUGAUAAGACUAGAGGGAAUGGCUUCAAGCUGCACCAGGAGAGAUUUAGGCUGGAUGUUAGGAAAGACUACUUUUCUGAAAGAGUGGUCAGGCACUGGAAUGGGCUGCCCAGGGAGGUGGUGGAGUCAUCAAGGAGAAGGUGUUCAAGGAACGUUUGGAUUUUGUGUAGAGGGACAUGGUUUAAUGAGAGCUGUUGGUGA
Molecule: long non-coding RNA, 1065 nt
Filed under: Phasianus colchicus (ring-necked pheasant)
Lineage: Eukaryota; Metazoa; Chordata; Aves; Galliformes; Phasianidae
Description: lncRNA (ENSPCLG00000012029.1)
Source: RNAcentral